GAUGAACGCUGGCGGCGCGCCUAAUACAUGCAAGUCGAGCGAACGGACGAGAAGCUUGCUUCUCUGAUGUAAGCGGCGGACGGGUGAGUACCACGUGGAUAACCUACCUAUAAGACUGGGAUAACUUCGGGAAACCGGAGCUAAUACCGGAUAAUAUUUUGAACCGCAUGGUUCAAAAGUGAAAGACGGUCUUGCUGUCACUUAUAGAUGGAUCCGCGCUGCAUUAGCUAGUUGGUAAGGUAACGGCUUACCAAGGCAACGAUGCAUAGCCGACCUGAGAGGGUGAUCGGCCACACUGGAACUGAGACACGGUCCAGACUCCUACGGGAGGCAGCAGUAGGGAAUCUUCCGCAAUGGGCGAAAGCCUGACGGAGCAACGCCGCGUGAGUGAUGAAGGUCUUCGGAUCGUAAAACUCUGUUAUUAGGGAAGAACAUAUGUGUAAGUAACUGUGCACAUCUUGACGGUACCUAAUCAGAAAGCCACGGCUAACUACGUG
This 497-nucleotide ribosomal RNA is filed under the name uncultured bacterium. Its description in RNAcentral is "partial 16S ribosomal RNA". It matches the Rfam family "Bacterial small subunit ribosomal RNA", at positions 28 to 507 of the family's 1533-position model. The record is from RNAcentral.